This 216-nucleotide long non-coding RNA is filed under the name Pan troglodytes (chimpanzee). Its description in RNAcentral is "long non-coding RNA NONPTRT002833". Lineage: Eukaryota; Metazoa; Chordata; Mammalia; Primates; Hominidae. The record is from RNAcentral.
UCAAGAAUAAAGGUUCUCUUCAGUUUGAAGACAAAUGGGAUUUUAUGCGCCCGAUUGUUUUGAAGCUUUUACGCCAGGAAUCUGUUACAAAACAGCAGUGGUUUGAUCUGUUUUCGGAUGUGCAUGCAGUCUGUCUUUGGGAUGAUAAAGGCCCAGCAAAAAUUCAUCAGGCUUUAAAAGAAGAUAUUCUUGAGUUUAUUAAGCAAGCACAGGCAG